CGAACGCGUACAUAGGAGCAAUCCUAGGUGCGAGUGGCAGACGGGUGAGUAACGCGUGGAUAAUCUACCUCCGAGUGGGGAAUAUCCUUCCGAAAGGGAGGGCAAUACCGCAUAACAUCGCGAGGGCUUCGGCCCAUGCGAUCAAAGCUGGGGACUGGGAAACCGGCCUGGCGUUUGGAGAGGAGUUCGCGUUGGAUUAGCUAGUUGGUGAGGUAACGGCUCACCAAGGCGACGAUCCAUAGCCGGCCUGAGAGGGUGAUCGGCCACACUGGAACUGAGACACGGUCCAGACUCCUACGGGAGGCAGCAGUGGGGAAUUUUGCGCAAUGGGGGAAACCCUGACGCAGCAACGCCGCGUGGGUGAUGAAGCAUCUUGGUGUGUAAAGCCCUGUCAACGGGGACUAAGGUACGGUAUUGAAUAGAUGCCGUGCUUGAAUGUACCUGUGGAGGAAGCCCCGGCUAACUCUGUGCCAGCAGCCGCGGUAAUACAGAGGGGGCAAGCGUUAUUCGGAAUUAUUGGGCGUAAAGGGCGCGUAGGCGGCUCGGUCAGUGGAAAGUGAAAGCCCUCGGCUCAACCGAGGAACUGCUUACCAUACUGCUGAGCUAGAGGAUGGGAGAGGAGAGUGGAAUUCCCGGUGUAGCGGUGAAAUGCGUAGAGAUCGGGAGGAACACCAGUGGCGAAGGCGGCUCUCUGGACCAU
This 700-nucleotide ribosomal RNA is filed under the name uncultured bacterium. Its description in RNAcentral is "bacterial SSU rRNA". It matches the Rfam family "Bacterial small subunit ribosomal RNA", at positions 63 to 737 of the family's 1533-position model. The record is from RNAcentral.